Anaerococcus vaginalis ATCC 51170 is the source of this 113-nucleotide regulatory RNA element. It matches the Rfam family "FMN riboswitch aptamer (RFN element)". From Rfam's summary of the family: The RFN element is a highly conserved domain that is found frequently in the 5'-untranslated regions of prokaryotic mRNAs that encode for flavin mononucleotide (FMN) biosynthesis and transport proteins. The record is from Rfam. Lineage: Bacteria; Bacillati; Bacillota; Tissierellia; Tissierellales; Peptoniphilaceae.
ACAAUUCUUCAGGGCGGGGUGUGAUUCCCCACCGGCGGUAAAGUCCGCGAGCUUUUUGCUGAAUAGGUGAAAUUCCUAUACCGACAGUAUAGUCUGGAUGAGAGAAGAUAUUU